UGUUUCAUUAUAGAAAAUUCAACAGUCACUUCUUCUCCCCCCCAAAAAACCAUUGCUUCCUUUAAUUCUCUUAAUUAGGCCUCCAUUAAUUCUCUUCCUCCAUUUCUUUCCCAGGUGAAUUUCCUUUUUCCUUAUCACUUUCUCUCUUCUUCCUCCUCUCUCCACAGGUAAUCAUCAAGCUAAAUAUCCUCUUUCUGUCUUUUGAAAUUUAUUUUGUUGGUAUUUCAUGUAUAUUUAUUUCCAGUAUAUUCAAUUUCUGUUGGAUUUUAGAUUCGUUUGGGUAAUUAUCAGUGUGCUUCAUUUUCUUUGGUAUGUUUAAUAAUUACUAUUUUAUUUUCCUUUUACUCAAAUUGAUUUUCUGAUGAUCAGUUGUGUACCCUUUGCAUCUUCGCCCAUUUUUCAUGUGUCCUCUUCAUCAUUUCCGGCUUUACUCGAUUUCCAUGUUAGUUCUUCUUUGUGCGACACUUCUAUUUAUAUUUGGUCUAUGUUUCUUUUGACUGUAUGGUCCGACAUAGUGAUCGAAUUUUUGUAUUUUUCUGUAGCUUCUGAGAGUUACUCGACUAUCAUUUUGUACUGUAGCUAUGACAUGAUUGACUUUUGGGACGUUCUCUUACAAGGUCAUGCCAUUUAUUAGGAAUUAGUCAAGAGAAGUCCCAUUGGUGUAGAAGAAGUUGCUAUUCAUUGUCUCUCCCUUCUUCUCCUAUAUUCCCAUGGAAGCAAUAAAAAUGCUGCUACAGAUGGACGUUUUUGCUAUUGUGAUGCUGAAGUAAAGCUGCAAAUUAUUGUAAAGAAGUUGGGGGUUUAUGCUGGAGUUCGUUGUGAAUAAGAAAAGAGAGUGUUAUUUCUA
Nicotiana tabacum (common tobacco) is the source of this 847-nucleotide long non-coding RNA. RefSeq lists it as uncharacterized. Lineage: Eukaryota; Viridiplantae; Streptophyta; Magnoliopsida; Solanales; Solanaceae. The record is from RefSeq and is a predicted model, not a curated record.